This 253-nucleotide ribosomal RNA is filed under the name uncultured bacterium. RNAcentral describes it as "partial 16S ribosomal RNA". It matches the Rfam family "Bacterial small subunit ribosomal RNA", at positions 524 to 776 of the family's 1533-position model. The record is from RNAcentral.
UACGAGGGGGGCAAGCGUUGUUCGGAUUUAUUGGGCGUAAAGGGUGCGUAGGCGGUUUGGCAAGUCUUGUGUGAAAUCUUUGGGCUCAACCCAAAGUCUGCAUAAGAAACUGCCGGGCUUGAGUAUGGGAGAGGUGAGUGGAAUUUCCGGUGUAGCGGUGAAAUUCGUAGAUAUUGGGAAGAACACCGGUGGCGAAGGCGGCUCACUGGCUCAUUACUGACGCUCAGGCGCGAUAGCGUGUGGAUCAAACAGG